AUGUCCAAGAGCCGUAAGAUCGGCCGCAUGCUUGCCGAGCAGGACGAGCAGCGUCCAGCGGGCCAGCGGCGGCGUGGGCGUGGGAGUUCUGAAGGCAAUGUCGAAGAGCAUGCUGCGGCGGAAACAGAGAUUGAGGACGCAGAGGAGGAGGACGGGGACGAGGAGCAGCAGCAUAUUAGGAUGCAUGACGGCAAGUCGUACCGCAUCACCUUCCCGGACUUUCCCGGCGGGCCGGGCACCUUCGAGGCGGCGACCAAGUUCUGCUACGGCGUCCGCGUCGAGCUCACGCCCUGGAACAUCGCCCCACUGCGGUGCGCGGCCGAGUACCUGGAGAUGACGGAGGAGCACUCCGAGGACAACCUGGCCGCGCGUGCCGAGGCCUACCUCUCGCAGUCCGUGCUCCGCCACCCCGGCGAGGCCGCCAAGGCGCUCAAGUCCUGCGAGGAGCUGCUGCCGCACGCCGAGGAGCUCGGCAUUAUCGCCCGCUGCGUGGACGCCAUCGCCGCGCGCUCGUCGGCGAUGUCGCGCUCCUGGUUCGGCGACCUGGCCGUGCUCGGCCUGCACAUGUACAAGCGGGUAAUGGCGGCCAUGGCCGCGCGCAAGGACGUGAGGACGGAGGCUUUGGAGGGUUGCCUCGUGUCCUACGCCAAGUCCACCCUCCCGGGGCUGUCGAGGUCCAUGAGGUGGCGUCGCGCGUCCGCGCCGGUCUCGUCGGAGGUGGAGCAGAGAGACCUCCUGGAGGCGGUGGUCGCGAGCCUCCCCGCGGACAAGGGCUCGGGGAGCGUGGUGACCGCGAAGUUCCUGUUCGCGCUGCUGGGCACGGUGCACAUCCUGCGCGCUUCAGACGCGGCGCGCGCGGCGAUCGAGCGGAAGGCCGCGACGCAUAUGGAACAGGCAACGGUGGAGGACGUGCUCAUCCCGAGCUACUCCGGCGCCGCGGAGACGCUCUACGACAUGGACUACGUCGAGCGGGUGGUCAGGAACUUCCUAGCCGAGGAGGAGGUGGGCGAGGACGAGGCGUCGUCGUCAGCUGCAAUCACUGAGGAGGAAGCGGUGGCGAGGACGACGGCGUCGCGCCCGUCGGCCGUGGCAAUGGUGCAGGUGGGCAAGCUGGUGGACAACUACCUGGCAGAGGUAGCGUCCGACGCCAACCUGAAGCCAACCAAGUUCUGCGAGCUCGCGCUGGCAAUGCCGGACCACGCACACAUCUACGACGAUGGCGUCUACCGCACCGUCGACAUCUACCUCAAGGCGCAUCCGCGGCUGACGGCGGAGGAGCGGGACAGGGUGUGCGGCGUGGUGGACUGCAGGAAGCUGACGGUGGAGGCGUGCACGCACGCGGCGCAGAACGAGCGGCUCCCGCUGCGCGCGGUGCUGCAGGUGCUCUUCUUCGAGCAGCUGCUGCUCCGGCGCGCCAUCACGGGCACGCUGCUGGCGUCCACGGCUUCCCCGCGAGCGCGGCAUCCGAAUCCUCAUCCGUAG
Molecule: ribosomal RNA, 1482 nt
Filed under: Triticum aestivum (bread wheat)
Lineage: Eukaryota; Viridiplantae; Streptophyta; Magnoliopsida; Poales; Poaceae
Description: partial small subunit ribosomal RNA
Source: RNAcentral